Molecule: ribosomal RNA, 440 nt
Filed under: uncultured bacterium
Lineage: Bacteria
Description: partial 16S ribosomal RNA
Rfam family: Bacterial small subunit ribosomal RNA
Source: RNAcentral
CUACGGGACGCUCCAGUAGGGAAUCUUGCUCAAUGGGCGAAAGCCUGAAGCAGCGACGCCGCGUGCGGGAUGAAGGCCCUCGGGUCGUAAACCGCUUUCAGCAGGAACGAAAUUGACGGUACCUGCAGAAGAAGCCCCGGCCAACUACGUGCCAGCAGCCGCGGUGAUACGUAGGGGGCAAGCGUUGUCCGGAUUUAUUGGGCGUAAAGAGCUCGUAGGCGGUUCGGUAAGUCGGGUGUGAAAUAUCAGGGCUCAACCCUGAGAGGCCACUCGCUACUGCUGUGACUAGAGUCCGGUAGAGGAGUGUGGAAUUCCUGGUGUAGCGGUGAAAUGCGCAGAUAUCAGGAGGAACACCCAUGGCGAAGGCAGCACUCUGGACCGGAACUGACGCUGAGGAGCGAAAGCGUGGGGAGCGAACAGGAUUAGAUACCCGUGUAGUC